CUUUCGGCGCCGGACGCAACUCAAGAACCCGGAACACCGGAGGGUUUUUUUUUUUUUGGCGAAGACUUCCAAGCGCGGCACGCUCCUGGCUGCUGUUGCCGUUUCAAGACAUUUAUAGCUCCUUCUUGUGCCCCAGUGUUUGUGUAUGUGUGCCGCCGUGGUGUUGUGUUCGAUGUGUGUGUUUUUUUAAAUGUUCUGUUCUUAUGUGUUAUUGUUCUUGGGCAGUGCGCCAUGUCGGAGAAUGCAAUUAGGUACAGUGAGUGAUUGUCGGACUAGCCGGAGAAACCAACACAACAACGGUGUUAUUAGUGUGUCUGAGCGUAGGUCAGAACUUUCGGCAAUAGAGGUAGGGCUAGGUUGAUUCCCAUCCCGAGAGCACGUCGUGAAAUAGAGUGUGUGUUUUCCACACCAACUCCAAACUGUGUGACCCAUCUGUCCCUUGGAAGGCAUUCCAAUGCCUCGAAGCUUAAACCUCCAACACUCUGACAAUCAAUAUCAAGGCACAUCUUUCCUCCCGUUUCAAUAAUUCAAACCCCUUUCCGUGCAUCCAACGCCAACACUACACAAUUGUCGAGCGCAGAAAACUGCGGUUUCUGGUGCACUCUGGCUGCCUCUUUCGGCCUCGGAGACGUUGGAAAGAUUGGCCACGAAAGGGAACAAUAGAUGGAAAUCGCGAGCACACACCCGCGUUGAUGAUGAUGAUGUCAUGCACAACGCUCUCCACGGUUUUGCAGCCAGAUGUUCGCUACCGGAAUGCCUUUGCCACUCUCCAGCUUCUUGCCGAUAUCAAAACUGAUUGGAGCGACAUACAACUUCAACCUAACAACAAUCGAUCUUCGGAUAAGAACAACAAUUAGUGAACUGAUGUCCAACCAAAUUAACUGCCAUACUACACACAAGCGAAAAUUGCAUCAUGUGUUCGUAGCACUCAAAACGAACUCCAACUCCAACCAACAUCUCCGUGAGCAACGAUCUAUGUUUUUUCUUCUCGGCGAAAUUAGAUUCUUAUCUAUGUGUACCUUCUGCAACCGACGGAAUGAUUUCGUAUACGUAAAACUAACUAAAACUAACCCUCUCCAAUGCAUAACGAUUUCUCUCGGCCCAGCCUGAAAUUUGCUAAACCUGAUGCGUGUUCGAAACCAAGGUGAGCAAAUAUUCAGGUGUGUCGACGAGCGGUCACAUUCGUCGUUCCGCCUUCUGGGGGUUAGUUUGGUUAUGCAGGCAUACAGGCACACGGGCACUAGGCUUCGUGGCUCCACACCUUCGGCACCGAAUGGCUUCCUGCACGCUGAUGACAAUACUAACAGUUGCAUUAGGUGUGGCGCACCACCACUCGAAGAUGUCAUCAGAGAUCUCGUGUUUGGUGGGGGAAGCACGAUUAUUUCUCAUUUACUAUCCAAAUCAAAGCUGUUGCCCAGGUACAGCGCGCUUCUUGCUGCAAGUCACCAUCGGGCCAGCGAGCGGAGUGCUCAAAUCGUCAGCACCGGUACCGCAAAUAGCAUUCCAAUUUCCUACUUCCUGCCACCUUCUGCCACCGUCAACUGCUACACAGUACCUCGGUGUGGUGACUGUUCACCACGAACCAUCAUCGUUCGGAUAUAACCUUCCCGAGAAAGCUUUAACCCCCGCGCAGUGGACGGAGUACACAUUCAGCAGAUAGAUUGGAGAACGACAGACACCAAAUGGAGGUGUGGGGAAUACUAGGGCAAUAUCACAUACAGUGUGUUAGGUUCCAGAAACACCCGUUCAGGCUAAGAUGUUGUACUGCACGCAACGCAUGCAGAGUGAAGACAGGCAAAAGGAUGUUAGAAAAGUAAUUUCCGCUUUCACUAUCUGCACAUAAAGCAUCGCAUUGGCACUAGGAACGAGUCCAGCAAUGACUGUCACAUUUUUCGGGAAAGGCGGAUUUUAAUGCCACGUGCUUCUGUGUUGAUGCUUCAUUGGAGAGGACAGAACGCGGAAAUGUAGCUCAGGCUCGCUCAAAAAGGCAAAAGAAAACUGAUUAACACACGCCAUGAGCAUGGCUCCAUCAACUAUCGAUCCUCAAGUAACGGCACCGCUUUCUCACGCACAUUACAGGAUUCGACAGUUUCGCUUGGAAUCCGCGCGUGUCACAGAGUCUCCUUCCGCCAUUGGAAAGAAGGCUAUAGGGAAGGCAAUAUCGACACUACGACUGUGCCAAAUUAGAUUAGUUAAAGGCGUAAUUCAAUUAGAAUAGCAAACUCCGAUGUAUUGCUUCGUGGUGUAGGGGCGUGAAAGAGUAUUUUGCGACAUGUUAACGCGACGAUUCGAAUCCGAAAUUAUUAAUAAUUUGGCUACAACAUACUUGUUCGAAUACAUAGCACGUGAGCUGCGAAAGAAAUUCUUAACAUGAUGCUUAGCGUAUGGUCUAAGGAAAUAUAAAAUAAACACCAACCC
Molecule: long non-coding RNA, 2418 nt
Organism: Anopheles arabiensis
Lineage: Eukaryota; Metazoa; Arthropoda; Insecta; Diptera; Culicidae
Exons: 5
Source: RefSeq, a predicted model, not a curated record